UGAAGAGUUUGAUCAUGGCUCAGAUUGAACGCUGGCGGCAGGCUUAACACAUGCAAGUCGAGCGCACUCUUCGGAGUGAGCGGCAGACGGGUGAGUAACGCGUGGGAACGUGCCCUUUGGUUCGGAAUAGCCCUUGGAAACGAGGAGUAAUGCCGAAUGUGCCCUUCGGGGGAAAGAUUUAUCGCCAAAGGAUCGGCCCGCGUUAGAUUAGCUUGUUGGUGAGGUAACGGCUCACCAAGGCGACGAUCUAUAGCUGGUCUGAGAGGAUGAUCAGCCACACUGGGACUGAGACACGGACCAGACUCCUACGGGAGGCAGCAGUGGGGAAUAUUGGACAAUGGGGGCAACCCUGAUCCAGCCAUGCCGCGUGUGUGAAGAAGGCCUUCGGGUUGUAAAGCACUUUCAGUGAGGAGGAAAACUCUGCGACUAAUACUCGUAGGGCUUGACGUUACUCACAGAAGAAGCACCGGCUAACUCCGUGCCAGCAGCCGCGGUAAUACGGAGGGUGCAAGCGUUGUCCGGAAUCAUUGGGUGUAAAGGGUGCGUAGGCGGGCUACUAAGUCUGGGGUGAAAUCUUGCCGCUUAACGGUAAAAUGGCCUUGGAUACUGGUAGUCUUGAGUGUAGAAGAGGCAGGUGGAAUUCGUAGUGUAGCGGUGAAAUGCAUAGAUAUUACGAAGAACAUCAGUGGCGAAGGCGGCCUGCUGGUCUACAACUGACGCUGAGGCACGAAAGCGUGGGGAGCGAACAGGAUUAGAUACCCUGGUAGUCCACGCCCUAAACGUUGAAUACUCGUUGUUGGCGAUAUACUGUCAGCGACUAAGCGAAAGCAUUAAGUAUUCCACCUGGGGAGUACGACCGCAAGGUUGAAACUCAAAGGAAUUGACGGGGGCCCGCACAAGCGGUGGAGCAUGUGGUUUAAUUCGAAGCAACGCGAAGAACCUUACCUGCGCUUGACAUCCCUAUCGCGGAUUAGAGAGAUCUUUUCCUUCAGCUCGGCUGGAUAGGUGACAGGUGCUGCAUGGCUGUCGUCAGCUCGUGUCGUGAGAUGUUCGGUUAAGUCCGGCAACGAGCGCAACCCACAUCUUUAGUUGCCAGCAGUUCGGCUGGGCACUCUAGAGAAACUGCCCGUGAUAAGCGGGAGGAAGGUGUGGAUGACGUCAAGUCCUCAUGGCCCUUACGGGUUGGGCUACACACGUGCUACAAUGGCGGUGACAAUGGGCAGCGAACCCGCGAGGGGGAGCUAAUCUCAAAAAGCCGUCUCAGUUCGGAUUGUUCUCUGCAACUCGAGAGCAUGAAGUUGGAAUCGCUAGUAAUCGCGUAACAGCAUGACGCGGUGAAUACGUUCCCGGGCCUUGUACACACCGCCCGUCACACCAUGGGAGUGGAUUGCACCAGAAGUGGUUAGUCUAACCUUCGGGAGGACGAUCACCACGGUGUGGUUCAUGACUGGGGUGAAGUCGUAACAAGGUAGCCGUA
This 1477-nucleotide ribosomal RNA is filed under the name Symbiodinium sp. Mp. Its description in RNAcentral is "partial Bacterial small subunit ribosomal RNA". It matches the Rfam family "Bacterial small subunit ribosomal RNA". The record is from RNAcentral. Lineage: Eukaryota; Dinophyceae; Suessiales; Symbiodiniaceae.